Eptesicus fuscus (big brown bat) is the source of this 563-nucleotide long non-coding RNA. RefSeq lists it as uncharacterized. The record is from RefSeq and is a predicted model, not a curated record. The transcript is spliced from 3 exons. NCBI's taxonomy places the organism in Eukaryota, Metazoa, Chordata, Mammalia, Chiroptera, Vespertilionidae.
UCCAGCUGUGGUUCCUUCCUCUUAUUUCCUUCUGCCUGUCCUCUCUGGAUGAAGUCACGUGUUCAACUAUACAGACUGUGAUUGGGCUCACAUCUCCAGCUGCCACACGCCCACUGGGAUUCCCUUUGAACAUCACAAAGAUUUUAAGAUCCCAGAGGACAGGAACCAUCCGCAGUACCAUCAUCAUCCUGUAAGCUCCAUGAGGACCAGAUUUUUGUUUCCUGAUGAGCUCCAAACCAUUCAAAAAAGACUCCUGGCGUGGACAAAUAAUAAUGUUUGUCGAAAGAAUGAGAGGACAAGAUUCCAAACCAAAUUAAGAGCUCUGGACUGUUGACUGUACCUGAGAGUUCUGAUCUUCAAGGAGCCAGCAUUUUAACAACACCAAACCAGGGUUAAUAAGGGAAUAGAAACAGGAUUGACCAAAUGAGUAUGCCAAUGUUAAGCCCUGCCCAGCCAGGUAGCUAACAAUGUUUUUAUUGACAGGGAAAUAAAGACUUCAGAGAGAAAUAUGAUUCGCUCUGCCUUGUCUCAAAGAGAAAAAUGAGUUAGGCCAGAGAAAUAAC